GGUGGCUCAGUGGUAGAGUGCUUGUCUUGCAAGCAUGAGGCCCUGGGUUCAAUUCCUCAGCACCA
RNAcentral lists this transfer RNA (65 nucleotides) under Dipodomys ordii (Ord's kangaroo rat). It matches the Rfam family "tRNA". Rfam says of the family: Transfer RNA (tRNA) molecules are approximately 80 nucleotides in length. Their secondary structure includes four short double-helical elements and three loops (D, anti-codon, and T loops). Further hydrogen bonds mediate the characteristic L-shaped molecular structure. tRNAs have two regions of fundamental functional importance: the anti-codon, which is responsible for specific mRNA codon recognition, and the 3' end, to which the tRNAs corresponding amino acid is attached (by aminoacyl-tRNA synthetases). tRNAs cope with the degeneracy of the genetic code in two manners: having more than one tRNA (with a specific anti-codon) for a particular amino acid; and 'wobble' base-pairing, i.e. permitting non-standard base-pairing at the 3rd anti-codon position. The record is from Rfam by way of RNAcentral. Lineage: Eukaryota; Metazoa; Chordata; Mammalia; Rodentia; Heteromyidae.